This 492-nucleotide ribosomal RNA is filed under the name uncultured bacterium. RNAcentral describes it as "partial 16S ribosomal RNA". It matches the Rfam family "Bacterial small subunit ribosomal RNA", at positions 29 to 507 of the family's 1533-position model. The record is from RNAcentral.
AGUGAACGCUGGCGGUAGGCCUAACACAUGCCAGUCGAACGGCAGCACAGUAAGAGCUUGCUCUUACGGGUGGCGAGUGGCAGACGGGUGAGGAAUACAUCGGAAUCUACUUUUUCGUGGGGGAUAACGUAGGGAAACUUACGCUAAUACCGCAUACGACCUACGGGUGAAAGCAGGGGAUCUUCGGACCUUGCGCGAUUGAAUGAGCCGAUGUCGGAUUAGCUAGUUGGCGGGGUAAAGGCCCACCAAGGCGACGAUCCGUAGCUGGUCUGAGAGGAUGAUCAGCCACACUGGAACUGAGACACGGUCCAGACUCCUACGGGAGGCAGCAGUGGGGAAUAUUGGACAAUGGGCGCAAGCCUGAUCCAGCCAUACCGAGUGGGUGAAGAAGGCCUUCGGGUUGUAAAGCCCUUUUGUUGGGAAAGAAAAGCAGCAGGUUAAUACCCCGCUGUUCUGACGGUACCCAAAGAAUAAGCACCGGCUAACUUCGUG